Molecule: long non-coding RNA, 1174 nt
Filed under: Gopherus agassizii (Agassiz's desert tortoise)
Lineage: Eukaryota; Metazoa; Chordata; Testudines; Testudinidae
Description: lncRNA (ENSGAGG00000002438.1)
Source: RNAcentral
GAAAAAGAGCUCAAAGUGUAUUAACGUAUUUAUCCUCCUCCUCCCCACAAAGGAAAGAGUAAGGGCUCAGAUGUCAUUUUUUAGCGCCUUGGACAGUGUGACCGCCCUGUAAACAGGGAUCUGGUCUCUCCUCUUCUGCUCUAUUUAGGUAGAGCUCCUUUUAGUGGGCUGAUGGCAAUAACUUGCCUUUAAGGAGGACAAUUUAUGUCACAUGUCUGUGACUCACAGGUAGUGCAGUAUCCCUUAGUACUUGGGCAGCAUAAUCACCCUGUAUCCAGCGUUCAGGUCUCUGCCCUUUAUUCUUUUGCCUCCAUUCUACUUCAGCCAGUUGGUAUGAGUUCUGACCCUGUAAUUAGGGGAGAGUUUGUGUCCCUCUGGCUUCUGGGGAAUAUUGAGUUCUGUGGAGCCCUGAGCAGUGUGACCGCCCUGUAACUAGGGUCCAGGUCUUUGCUCACUUGCUCGUUUGGCAUUACGCUGUACACUGGCCCACUAGUCAGCGUGACAACCCUGUAAUCAGGGUUCAUGUCACAAGUAUCCAUAGAAUUGGAUAUAUUGGGCCCUUUGAUACUUUGAGGAGCUUGACCUUCCUGUAAUUCAGGUUACGGUCUCUGCUAUUUGGCUAAUCCCAGUGACCACCCUGUAAUCAGGGUACAGGUUGCAUCUCUCUCUUGAAAGCCCGGGGGAUUAAAACUAUUUCAAUAACAUGGGCAGCUUGACCUCCCUGUAACUAGGGUUCGGUCUCCGAGGCCCUUUGGGUCUCUUGGCAUUGUGCUUUCUUCAUAGCCUGAGGCGAGUGACAGCCCUGUAAUCAGGGAAUCUGGUCUUGGCCCUCUGCUGUCUUGGCACUAGGCCAAGUGAGCCAACUGGUCUGAAUGAGCACCCUGUAAACAGGGUACAGGUCUCAGCAGACACUAUUUAUGGUGCCCCCAUGAAACUGUAUCCAGAGUCCUGGCCCUUCACACUGGGCUUCCAACUUGCCUGGAAUUCUGCAGCCAAAUCUCCUGCUUUCUUCCUCGCGUACUGUUCUCUUGGAGACCCAACAUCCUGCUCCCAUUGCAGGCAGCUCCAAGCACAAGUGGACAAGAAGGAAGUGUCAGGAAUGUCAAGCAAAGAAGAGGAAAGAGGACAAGUCACUGAAGAUGGAGAAGAAGAAAAGGGCCUCUGGGCACAGUAA